UACAGAGGGGGCUAGCGUUGCUCGGAAUCACUGGGCGUAAAGCGCGUGUAGGUGGCGAUGUAAGUCGGGUGUGAAAUCCCUUGGCUCAACCAAGGAAGUGCACUCGAUACUGUGUCGCUUGAGUACUGGAGGGGGUGGCGGAAUUCCUGGUGUAGCAGUGAAAUGCGUAGAUAUCAGGAGGAACACCGAUGGCGAAGGCAGGUCUCUGGGCUGACACUGACGCUCAUGCACGAAAGCGUGGGGAGCAAACAGG
RNAcentral lists this ribosomal RNA (253 nucleotides) under uncultured bacterium. Its description in RNAcentral is "partial 16S ribosomal RNA". It matches the Rfam family "Bacterial small subunit ribosomal RNA", at positions 524 to 776 of the family's 1533-position model. The record is from RNAcentral.